CGGGAGAGAGGAUUAUUCCUAUUCCCGCUUUACAGACAGGAAAACCGAGGUCCAGGGAGGCAAGUGACUGGCUGAGGCUCCCACCGCCAGGCAGGACGUGGAAGACGCAGGAUUUGAACCCUGAUCUUCCCCUCUGCCGCGUGCCUGGCUCAGCAGUGUCACGGGCCUUGUUCCUGACCACAGGCUGGACAGGGUUGUGGACAUGUGGGUCCCACCUCGUCCUUACAACUGCCUCUUGACAUUGGUGUUUGUCCCAUUUCACAGCUGAGAAAAUUGAGGCUAAAAAAUGCGAAUGAUUUGCCAAGUUCAGGUGGCUGGGCAGCGCCGGGGCCAGGAUUCAGUCCUUGUCCACCUCCAGGGAGUUCUGCGACCUGCCCGGGGCCACACGGCUAACUUCAGUCCCUUCCAGGCAGCCGUCUACUCAGUGCCAGUCUUCCCCGCACAGGAGAUCACGUCGUCCCCACCUCCCCCACACAGGCUUUUCCUGGACACGGGAAUCGAGUCCGAGUUCCCUCUAGACCUGGGCCAGACAUGUUGGCCAUCCAAGAAGGACAGAUGUUUGCCCGAGGGCCCUGAAGAGGACAGGGGAGUCGAGUCCGAGCUCAGAGGAUCUUCCCAGAGACUUCAAGAAGCCAAGGGACUCUCCUCCUGUAACUGCAGACUGAAGACUCUGCUUACCGCGUGGGCCCCGUGUCCACAAAGGCCGCCCGCCCGGGAGCCGGGGUUUCCAGCUGCCUUGGAGAGAGAACCACCUGAAGGGGCCAGGUGCUGGCACAAGGGGACAUUUCCGUCGCCGUCCCCAGGUCGGGAGCGUGCAUGAGGGGCACAGGGUAUGUGCAUGUUCCUUCUAGUGUGGCUGGGUCUUGAGGGGGAGAGAACCCAGUAGGGGCCCCCUGCCCAGCAUUCCUCUGACAUGCAUUUGUUGAGUGUAUACGGGCCCCGGGAUACCAGGGGCUCUGGACACACCUCUGCCCACAAGAGUUUGGAGGUCUGCUGGGGAGACAGGCACAUGAGCACCUGAUGAUGGAACGCGGGUCCAGAGCGGGCGCGGGCACUGGAGCCCUGGAACCCGGGUGGUCGGAGCCUCAGUCCCCAGGGUGAGGACGUGAAAACUUUCCAGAGGAGACGGUUUCUGACUGGGUCUCGGAAUACGGUUCUGAUGGAUCCCAAGGAAAAGCAGAAGGUGAUCAAUCACAGAAGUUGAUUCUAGAGUCUGGAGUGGUGUCCGUCACAGCCAACCAUUCAACUAACUCCCUCGGGGAGAGCUGUCCCCCUGCAGGGUUGGUGGCAGUGGAUGCCGUGGAAGGGGAUGCGUCUGGAGAGAACACCGCUCGCCCCUUUGCCCUGAUUGCUGGCACCUGCCUGUCUGCAGGAGACCCGUCCCAGAUCACCUUUCAGGCAUCAAUUUGUCUUCCCUGCUUUCUGCAUCCUUGACAACCAUGGACUAAGCACACAUGACAGGAGCCCGUCCCCCUGCGAGGGGACGGCUGGAGCCUGGGGGCCACAGCAGGAGCCCACUUGCUGCAGUGACCUGGACCUCAACCUAGGGUCCAUCGGAGUCCCCUGAGGACCUUAAGAGAAAGACGCCCCGCCCCCUCCCAGAGAUGGGAUUCAGCUAGCCUGGGAGGGCGCGGGCGCCGCUCAUCCUCCGUGAACGGAGAAAACCUCGGCUCCGAGGGAAAGACCACAGCUUUAGAGUCAGACCUGGAAUCCCAGCUCUUCCUCGUCUGAACGGUGUGACUUAGAUGAAUUACCCACACUCUCUGGGAGCCGGCUUCUGUUUCUGGAGGAAUGUUCAUGGUCAGUUCACCUCAGGUAACC
Equus asinus (donkey) is the source of this 1821-nucleotide long non-coding RNA. The record is from Ensembl. NCBI's taxonomy places the organism in Eukaryota, Metazoa, Chordata, Mammalia, Perissodactyla, Equidae.